UACGUAGGGUGCGAGCGUUAAUCGGAAUUACUGGGCGUAAAGCGUGCGCAGGCGGUCUGUUAAGACCGAUGUGAAAUCCCCGGGUUUAACCUGGGAACUGCAUUGGUGACUGGCAGGCUUUGAGUGUGGCAGAGGGAGGUAGAAUUCCACGUGUAGCAGUGAAAUGCGUAGAGAUGUGGAGGAAUACCGAUGGCGAAGGCAGCCUCCUGGGCCAACACUGACGCUCAUGCACGAAAGCGUGGGGAGCAAACAGG
Molecule: ribosomal RNA, 254 nt
Filed under: uncultured bacterium
Lineage: Bacteria
Description: partial 16S ribosomal RNA
Rfam family: Bacterial small subunit ribosomal RNA
Source: RNAcentral